GACGAACGCUGGUGGCGUGCUUAACACAUGCAAGUCGAACGGAAAGGCCCUGCUUUUGUGGGGUGCUCGAGUGGCGAACGGGUGAGUAACACGUGAGUAACCUGCCCUUGACUUUGGGAUAACUUCAGGAAACUGGGGCUAAUACCGGAUAGGAGCUCCUGCUGCAUGGUGGGGGUUGGAAAGUUUCGGCGGUUGGGGAUGGACUCGCGGCUUAUCAGCUUGUUGGUGGGGUAGUGGCUUACCAAGGCUUUGACGGGUAGCCGGCCUGAGAGGGUGACCGGCCACAUUGGGACUGAGAUACGGCCCAGACUCCUACGGGAGGCAGCAGUGGGGAAUAUUGCACAAUGGGCGGAGGCCUGAUGCAGCAACGCCGCGUGCGGGAUGACGGCCUUCGGGUUGUAAACCGCUUUCGCCUGUGACGAAGCGUGAGUGGCGGUAAUGGGUAAAGAAGCACCGGCUAACUACGUG
Molecule: ribosomal RNA, 468 nt
Filed under: uncultured bacterium
Lineage: Bacteria
Description: partial 16S ribosomal RNA
Rfam family: Bacterial small subunit ribosomal RNA
Source: RNAcentral